This 511-nucleotide long non-coding RNA is filed under the name Cyanistes caeruleus (blue tit). RNAcentral describes it as "lncRNA (ENSCCEG00000007355.1)". Lineage: Eukaryota; Metazoa; Chordata; Aves; Passeriformes; Paridae. The record is from RNAcentral.
CUUAUGUUUCCUCUGGGAGUGGUUUGUACUGGUUUAAACUGGUUUAUACUGGUCUAUACUGGUUUAUACUGGUUUAUACUGGUUUAAACUGGUUUGUACUGGUGCAGGUUCCUGGCCCCGGUGCUGGGGGCCCUGCGGGGGGGCCUGGGAGACCCCGACGGCGCCGUCAGGGGGGCGGCGGCGGCGGCGCUGAGGGAGCUGAGGGAGGAGCUGCAGGGGAGGGGGUUCAGCCCUGGCUGCCCCAGGUGAUUCCCAGGAUUUUGGGAGCUUUGGAGGCGUCGGAGCCGGAGCGGAGCCGGGAGCUGGCGCUGAGCGCGCUGCACGCGCUGGCCUGCAGCUCCGGCUCCCUGCACCUCCCCUCCCCCGCCCUGGCAGCCGUCACCGCCCUGGCCCGGGGGGGACCCCAGCAGUUACAGGCACUGGGUUUGUACUGGUUUGAACUGGUUUGGACUGGGAGGGGCUGGGAGGGGCUGGGAGGGGGAGAAAUGGGGGAAAAACGGGAAAAAUUGGG